CGGCCGUGGGGCAAGUAUGCAGCGGAGAUCCGGGACUCCACCCGCAACGGCGCCCGCGUCUGGCUCGGCACUUUCGACACCCCGGACGCCGCCGCGCUCGCCUGCGACCAGGCCGCCUUCUCCGUGCGCGGCCCGGCCGCCGUGCUCAACUUCCCCGUCAAGCUUGUGCAGGAGUCGCUGCGCGCGCUCGGGCUCGGCGUCGGCCGUGCCGCGGGGGACUCGCCUGCUCUCGCGCUCAAGCGCCGGCACUGCAUCCGGAAGAGAAACCCCAAGAACAAGAGGAGGACGGGCACGUCGGCGACAGCGACGGUGGUGGCUGCUGCGUCGUCAAUGUCAUUGUCAACGUGCGUGCUGGAGCUGGAAGACCUUGGAGCCGACUACCUCGAGGAGCUGCUCACCUUGUCCGAUAUG
Molecule: ribosomal RNA, 411 nt
Filed under: Triticum aestivum (bread wheat)
Lineage: Eukaryota; Viridiplantae; Streptophyta; Magnoliopsida; Poales; Poaceae
Description: partial small subunit ribosomal RNA
Source: RNAcentral